This 126-nucleotide non-coding RNA is filed under the name Procavia capensis (Cape rock hyrax). The record is from RNAcentral. Lineage: Eukaryota; Metazoa; Chordata; Mammalia; Hyracoidea; Procaviidae.
AUAAUGUAUGAAAGGAGAGAAGGUUAGCAUUCUCCUUGGUAAGAAUGGAAGAGGCCCCUGGGCAUUAUAACAUGCAUAAAGUUAAGGCAUUGCCACCCACUUUGUGGCAUUUAACUAAAGUUUGGA